CCCUGCAUUAAGCGAUCAGAGAGCACAAUAUUUCAUUGCCGGCAAUCGCAGCCAAGACAUCAACUACUUGGGGAGAGCAGCCUUAAAAGCCUUUUGAUUUUAUUUCUUCCACUUCAUUUUUUUUUUCCCCUUUCCUUGCUGGUGUCCUUGACAGGGCCUCCCUUCCCGCCCUGCCACCCCUUCCUCAAUGCUCCCCUCCCACAAGGGGCCGGGGGCUGCAGGUCUGGGGGGGUGCCUGCAGGACCCCACAGUCUGACCUAGAGCAGUGCAUGUGUGCACAGGUGUGGAUGUGUAGCUGGGAGACUGCUGUGGUCCCCUGGGUCCCUUUCUGUGCACCAGGGCAGCACUGUGUAUACAUGUCUGGAAGCCUGCGCCUGUGGGCAUACACCUGUGUCCGAGUGGGCCCUGUGUGCACCCGCAUGUGCAUGCCUGGGUGUGUAGGCACACGCGCUGGCCUCACUGCACACACUCACCAGAAAACUCCACCAAGUGCCUUAAUCUGAUCCCCGAGGAACAACGCAGAGGCUUCACUCUGGAUGACAAACGAGGAGGGGAGAGGCCUGCCCUGCCUGGACUCCGGGCCCCAGCCAUGACCGUGUCAGCUAGACGACACCUGGAGCAAGUCCCCACAACCUGUUUUACUCCUGAGCGGGCUUUGUGCCUAGACCUGGGAAUCCUGACUCACUUUGGUAAAGCUAUCGACCUCUCCAAGCCUCAGUUUCCUCAUCUUCAGUUUGGGCAGAUCUUUAGGCUCAGUGGAGCCAAAACAUCACCACCUUCUCCUGCAGCGCUGCCCUCUGGUCCUACUCAGCCUCAUCUGUGCGGGCUGGUCCUACACUUUGCUCACUCGGGAUUUUACACAUGGGGCCUGCGUCUCUCACGGAGGGCCACCAGGAGGCGCCACACGCCUGCUCGGCCUCCCCGUGGGCCCCCCAGUCCACCCGGCCGGUCGGUCUGGAGGCGGGGCGUCCUCGGGGUCCGGGUGUGCACGGUCUGCGGUUCAGCCCCGGCUCUAGCACGUGGCCCGCGGAGCCGCGCACCCUUUCUCUCUCUUGAACCCCCAUCGGGUGGCGGGCGUCUCAUCCAACCCUCUCUGCGCGAUCCUGCUCCCUCUGCGCCCGCGGGCAUCCGAGGUCCAGGCUUCUGUCACCCCCUAGCCCUACCCGCGAAGUCCUCUGUCAUCCUGCGAGCACAGGACCCAGAGUGCUGUGCUGUGGUCCCCGUUCCCCCAGCUCCUAUCCCUCUCUGAAGGUUGGAUGAAUAAACUGCUCUCAAAGCUGGUUUGUUUGGCCA
This 1293-nucleotide long non-coding RNA is filed under the name Bos indicus x Bos taurus (hybrid cattle). RNAcentral describes it as "lncRNA (ENSBIXG00005007125.1)". Lineage: Eukaryota; Metazoa; Chordata; Mammalia; Artiodactyla; Bovidae. The record is from RNAcentral.